AAAAUAGUUUGUGAUGACCGAUUCAUACAAAUUUUUAGGAUUUAUUGUUACAUUCAAUGUUUGAAUCCUCAUUUUCUCUUGAUCUCUGUGGAUAUCUCUCGAAUCUUGCAUGCCUUCCAUAUAGAUCUUGCUUCUGAACUUUACAUCCUUUAGUUUACAAUGAUGUGCUCCUCCAAUUCCACAAAAUAUUUUUGCCGAUAUUCUCUUUAUGAAAGGCCUUAGUCGAUUUUCGUUUCUUGGUAAAUGAUUGUAAUAACAAUUAAUUCAACGCCCCUCUCUCUAUUCACGAACACAAAGGUCUUUCUCUACCUCCACGACCAUAAAGGUCUUCAUCUCUCUCUAUCUCUCUAUAUGACUUUAUGUGUAUCAGAUAUGUUUCAGAAGUCAUAAACUGGAGGUGCUUGAAAAAGUUGAUUGUGUUGUUAAUUUCACCAUAUCUGCGAUCACAGACACAUACACAUUUGUUUAUUUUGGAUUUGGUCUUAAUUUGUAGGGUUUUUUCUUUCUUUUUUGACAUUAGAUCUUGACUCUGUUAUUGGUUGUUUAUAUGCAGGUAUGUCAUGGAUCAUUACAAAAAUAAGUCUCCAAUGUUGAGCCAUGUUUCUGAUUGUUUCUCAACUUUAACAUUUUUGAUGUUUCUAAUUGGGUUUUAAUUCAGGAGGUUUUUUUAGUUGUUUGUAUGCAGGUAUUCUAUGUUUCCAUUGGUUUUUCAACUUUUGUUUCACUAUCUAUCAUGAUCAUGCUUUGAUUAUAAACAUUAGCAUAACUGAAGCUCGUAUCAAUUGCAAUUGGUAUAUUUUUUAAGUUUCGUUUCGACUUUGGGUUCUUGCACUUUUUGAUUUUCUGUAUUGGUUUUGGAUUUCAUUUGGUUUUUUGUCAUUUUAGGCUCUUUCUGGUUUGCAAAGAAUGAGUGUUUUUGUCAAGAGAGAUGAUGAGCUCGAUCAAAAAUCAAGUUUAUGAUUUUUCCAUGAUAAAAUAUUAAUUGAAAAGUGCUUCUGUGUCUACAGAAUGUGUUGGUAACCCAUAACUCAAACCUUCAUGUUUUCUUAUAUUUUACUGUAAUCCCUUUUAAAUCUUCAUCUUUUCAAAUUUUGGUUGGGAUGAAUGAACAAAAAUUAUAUGGAUUUUACAGGAGUACAAUAAGUUUUAAAUAGGUUGUUUUUGUUUUUCAUAAGCGAUUUUUGCAUUUUAGUAUAAUCUAAGUUCCAUAUAUGGUGGUUUGGUAUUAUAGUUGUUUAUAUAUGCAUGUGAUGUUUGGAUUGUAUUCAAAAGGAAGCUGCAAAAGGUGUUAAAGUUAAGGUUGAAAGCAGAAGUGGAAGGUAAAAAUUAAGAAUAAAAUGUAAUCUUCAUGUUUAAUCCUACUUUAUUUUUUUAGUAGUUUCUAUUAAUUUAUAUGCUUCAAUUAAACUACAUGAAUCACUUAAGGAGAUCAAUUUGCAAGUUGUUGAAAAGUAGUUGGUCUUCAUUGGUUUAUAGAGGUAUUCUUUUAUAUAUAUAAAAUGGUGAAAUUAUGUUUUGUUUUCUGUAUUUUUUUCCUUGGUAUGACAAAAUCAUUUUGUUAAUAUGUUCUUGAAUGCGCAUUUUAGUUUUAAAUCUUCCUUGUGUUGUUGGAUCAUGUUAUCUCCUCCACCAUGAGAAUGAGUAUACAAGUGUACUUUCAUUCCAACAUCAAUUUGCGUAUCUAAUUCGGCUAAUACAUGAACUGACAAUUUACUUCUGUUUAUAUGUUUUAACCUUAUCUGUAACUUCUGGAAAACUGGAUUUCAUUAUAAAAAAAAUUACCUGAUCAGCCUUGACUGUCUGUGAGAAUGAUGAAAUUAUGAAAACUGACUAAUAUUUUGGCUUUGAAAACUUUGUCUGGAACAAGAGUUCUCAAGUUCUCACAAAUAUUGUAUCAUAAAAGAGUUUUCAUGUUAGAAAUGCUUUAUUCUCUAUGAUUACACUAAGGUAAUGUCAAUGUAGAACUCAACAUGCACAUGCUAUAAAAGGACAUGACUAUAAAUCGUUUACCUCUGAUUAUAAGUAUUUUUUUUUUACUUUACACAGAGCAAUUUUCAAAGAUCAUACUUCCCAAGUAAAGUUAUAACUUUUCAUUUAAUUAACACUUUACUAUAGUUUUUUUAAAUACAUCUUUAAAGUAUUUUCAUAGGUUAUUUGCUCGAUUUCUCCCAUGUUCUUUUGUAACUGCUCAACCUUGUAUGUUUCUCUCAAAUGUAAAUAUGUUGUUGAAAAUGUAAAUAUUUUGUUGUCAAAAUGUUGUAGAAAAGAGUAAUAUGAUGCUAUGAAAAUGCAUUUUUUUCCAUUUGGAAGGUGUUGUUUAUAGGUUGUUUUAUGACAAAAUUGCAAGUUUGGUCCCUGUGGUAUGUCAAAAAUUGGAUGUUUGGUCCAAAAAGUUUUGGGGUUGUACUGGUGGUCCAAAAGCUUUGAUUUGUUGUGGAAUUGGUCCAAAGGCUUAACAGCCGUCUACCCCCUCCGUCUGUGUGAGGGUAUUUUUGUCAAUUCACGCUCAUUCCUUUGAUAUCUUAUUAAAUUAAACCUCAUCAUCCUAAUUAAUUGAUACCUGCCGCCAAAUCCUCUGUGCAUUUCGUCGAUCGACUCUCCUGUCACUUUCAUCUUCAUUCGUUACCCAGAAGCCCUAACCUCCAAGUUGAGUUUUUUUAUUGUGAUCGGUGUUAUUUCAGUGUAUGAACAUACCAAUGUGGAAUAUAAGGCUCUUAGACAAACCGUUCAACGCAAAGGUGGCUUAUGGUAAGGAUUUUGUAAUUUCUCUGUACAUUACAUGUUUUGUAUGUGAAAUCAUGCUUCUGAACUUAUUUUUGUUGUUGGUUUGAAGAUGGCAACCCAACAUUAUUUACCAUCAAGCUAUACCAUAGAGGUGAGUUCACCAAGUUUCCUGAUGUUCAAUACAUUGACGGAAGUGUGAACUAUGUUGACAUGGUGGAUAUAGACACGUUUUCAGUUCAUGAGUUGGAUGCUAUCAUGAAAGGGUUCAGGUACGGUGUUCCUCCUGUGAUUUACUAUCACUUCCUUGUGCCUGGUGGAGACUUCCACUUUGGUCUUAAACCCUUAGGCAAUGAUGAUGAUUUACGAACUUUUGCCCAAUAUGUGUGUGAUCACAAAAUCAUGAGGGUAUAUACUGAACAUGGUGAGACAAAGUUACUUACCUACUUUAUGAAUCCUAAACCUGUUAAGAAGGUAACUAUUGUACAAAUGGAUGAAAUAGAUGAAAAUGAUGACAAUGAAAACCACACAGCUGAGGUACAAGAAUUUCCAAGCCCACCUAGAUCAUCCCCUGUUGAGGUUGAGGUACAACCAUUACAUGUCGAGGUUCAUGAUAGACAAAAAGAGCUUAUUGCCAAUGACUUUAUGGAGGCAGCUACAGAAUUUGAUAUUGGUUUGUAUCAAAAGAUGUUACAAUCAAAUGCAGAUGUU
This 3432-nucleotide long non-coding RNA is filed under the name Lactuca sativa (garden lettuce). Its description in RNAcentral is "long non-coding RNA (LSAT_LNC004141)". Lineage: Eukaryota; Viridiplantae; Streptophyta; Magnoliopsida; Asterales; Asteraceae. The record is from RNAcentral.